CACGUAGGCACCAAGCGUUGUCCGGAAUUACUGGGCGUAAAGGGCGCGUAGGCGGCCUUCUAAGUCGAACGUGAAAUCCCCGGGCUCAACCCGGGAACUGCGUCCGAUACUGGAAGGCUUGAAUCCGGGAGAGGGAUGUGGAAUUCCAGGUGUAGCGGUGAAAUGCGUAGAUAUCUGGAGGAACACCGGUGGCGAAGGCGACAUCCUGGACCGGUAUUGACGCUGAGGCGCGAAAGCCAGGGGAGCAAACGGG
Molecule: ribosomal RNA, 253 nt
Filed under: uncultured bacterium
Lineage: Bacteria
Description: partial 16S ribosomal RNA
Rfam family: Bacterial small subunit ribosomal RNA
Source: RNAcentral